This 243-nucleotide ribosomal RNA is filed under the name uncultured bacterium. RNAcentral's name for it is "partial 16S ribosomal RNA". It matches the Rfam family "Bacterial small subunit ribosomal RNA", at positions 524 to 765 of the family's 1533-position model. The record is from RNAcentral.
UACGGAGGGUGCGAGCGUUGUCCGGAAUCACUGGGCGUAAAGGGCGCGUAGGCGGCGCGGGGAGUCAACGGUGAAAGCUCGGCGCUCAACGCCGAGUCGGCCGUCGAUACUCCCGUGCUCGAGCACUGUAGAGGCAGGUGGAAUUCCGGGUGUAGCGGUGGAAUGGCGUAGAGAUCCGGAAGAACACCGGUGGCGAGGCGGCCUGACUGGGCAGUGCUAGACGCUGAGGCGCGACAGCGUGGG